This 391-nucleotide ribosomal RNA is filed under the name Bacillus subtilis. RNAcentral's name for it is "bacterial SSU rRNA". It matches the Rfam family "Bacterial small subunit ribosomal RNA", at positions 1084 to 1533 of the family's 1533-position model. The record is from RNAcentral. Lineage: Bacteria; Bacillati; Bacillota; Bacilli; Caryophanales; Bacillaceae.
GUCCUGCAACUGAGCCCAACCCUUGUUCUUAUUUGCCAGCGUUCAGCUGGGCACAUAAGGGACUGCCGGUCCAAACCGGAGGAAGGUGGGGAGACGUCAAAUCAUCAUGCCCCUUAUGACCUGGGCUACACACGUGCUACAAUGGGCAGAACAAAGGGCAGCGAAGCCGCGAGGUUAAGCCAAUCCCACAAAUCUGUUCUCAGUUCGGAUCGCAGUCUGCAACUCGACUGCGUGAAGCUGGAAUCGCUAGUAAUUGCGGAUCAGCAUGCCGCGGUGAAUACGUUCCCGGGCCUUGUACACUCCGCCCGUCCCCCCCCUCCAUAUGGUAACAUCCGAAGUCGUUGAGUUUACCACGGUACCCCUCAAACGUAGAGUUUUUUCCGGAUCCGGU